CCGUGAUAGAUGGGGAGGUAGCGGUGCCCUGUAACCUGCAAUCCGCUAUAGCAGGGUCGAAGUCCUAGUUGAGGCCUAAUCUGUUAGGGUCUGCCCUAGAUAAGUGGUGUUGACGAUUGGGUCCUACGCAACGGAAAUUCAUGAACCCCGUCAGGUCCGGAAGGAAGCAGCGGUAAGUGAACACUUUCGUGUGCCGUAGGGAUGCCUGAUCCGAGCUAACUGUCUAGGUAACGCCUGGUUGGUUAUGUCGAUUCUAGGUUCACGG
RNAcentral lists this signal recognition particle RNA (265 nucleotides) under Anaeromonas frigoriresistens. Its description in RNAcentral is "Bacterial large signal recognition particle RNA". It matches the Rfam family "Bacterial large signal recognition particle RNA". Rfam says of the family: The signal recognition particle (SRP) is a universally conserved ribonucleoprotein involved in the co-translational targeting of proteins to membranes. Archaeal SRP consists of a 7S RNA and homologues of the eukaryotic SRP19 and SRP54 proteins. Lineage: Bacteria; Bacillati; Bacillota; Tissierellia; Tissierellales; Thermohalobacteraceae. The record is from Rfam by way of RNAcentral.